AAAAAAAAAAAAAAAAAAAAAAAAAAAAAAACAACAAAACCGAUCCCUUUUCGUAAACACACGACGGGCUCCGAACGAGGGAUACUAAAUAUCGUUUCGAAUGGCUUGCUACACAGUAUAUAGAUAGGUAGGUAGGUAGCUAUAGGUACCUAUGUGUGUGCCGUACGAUAUUAUUUCGCGUCUCCGAUAUCCGGUCUAUACCGCGGUGUAAUAUUCUCGGUUUCUCACGGACGCGCGUAUAAUGCGUACCUACACGUACAUAUACAGGAGGAUGCGUUUGUUACAAUACGUAUUGUAUACAGACGGGUAUACGCACGAAAAACGCCGUAAUGUACGGUAUAAAACGCGUCGUCGGUAGACUGUCUACCAAUAUACUCGAUACUCUAAACGGUAUUGUUUCAAAAGAAUGAAUACCGAGCCGCAUUGGUUUCGUCAAGAGCCGCUGAUGAUCGAAUCUACUGCAAUUACAGCGAAUCGUUCUAUUUGACUUUCGGACUUGGAACGUGAGAACGUUUAUGUCGUUUUUCUCAACGGAGCUUCCUGUAGCUCGUUUAAAAAUUUAAAUAUCCAGAAAACCGUCUGCGCCCUUAAGUCUGACUAGUCAGCUGGUCGAUUCGUUCCGUUAUCGAGACCGCACAGCGCGCAAAGUUGUCCCCGUCGAACGGAAAUAAUCGCCGCGUCUUUUCACUCGUCUUCUUAAAAAAAAUCGACAUGGGUAUGGUAUACACGAUAAUAUUAUUAACGUUUUUUCUCUCUCUCUCUCUCUCUAUCUCUCUCUCUCUUUAUAGAUGUUGCGGACCGAGACUACGUAUUCUUAUUAUUAUCGUUACAUAGUAGUUAUACGAACGCGUUGUACGCGAUCCACGUCCCCCGAAGAUCGUCACUCGUCAACGAUUCCGUCGAAGACGACAAUGCCUGCAAUAAAUAAUUAUUGUUGUCGUUAUCUAUUUAUUUUAUACGAGCCGUGACGGAUUCUACGCGCGCGAUUCGUCCGUGAUCUGGUCGUCCAUUAAUUGUUUCGACGAAACACCG
Molecule: non-coding RNA, 1032 nt
Organism: Cinara cedri
Lineage: Eukaryota; Metazoa; Arthropoda; Insecta; Hemiptera; Aphididae
Source: the annotation of a GenBank genome assembly